CGAGAGAACGUUGCGCCAGCAACGGCCCGCAGGGCGAGCCACGCAGUGGCGAGUCAUCCUCUAUCACCGACCA
This 73-nucleotide small RNA is filed under the name Salmonella enterica subsp. enterica serovar Thompson. RNAcentral describes it as "partial RtT sRNA". It matches the Rfam family "RtT RNA", at positions 58 to 130 of the family's 130-position model. From Rfam's summary of the family: This family represents a bacterial cis-regulatory element known as RtT RNA. The exact function of RtT is unknown although it is thought that it may be involved in changing the cellular response in relation to amino acid starvation. Lineage: Bacteria; Pseudomonadati; Pseudomonadota; Gammaproteobacteria; Enterobacterales; Enterobacteriaceae. The record is from RNAcentral.